Molecule: long non-coding RNA, 593 nt
Organism: Raphanus sativus (radish)
Lineage: Eukaryota; Viridiplantae; Streptophyta; Magnoliopsida; Brassicales; Brassicaceae
Exons: 2
Source: RefSeq, a predicted model, not a curated record
CUAAAAACCAUAAAACUCUAUCAUUAAUCUAUUGGUUUCACAGAUUCGAAAAUCUAACAGAUGAGAAAGAGCACUUGACUUACAGAGAGAAGGAAGAAGAUGAGUUCUGAUCAGUUCAAGAUCGAGAACGAAGAAGCGUUACCGCACACUCUGUUUAUGUUCAUGGUUAUGCCGCAGCUGCUCUCAGGGUUACGCUCAUGCUGCAAGGAUCCGAGAUGCCAAGAAACAAAAGAAAAAAUGAUCAAAAUGGGAUGUAUUCUCUACUGGGGAGGGAGUUUAAGAAACAUAGUGCUAAAGCUUGCAGCUUUUGGUGUUCGGUAGUUGUAAAGUUUUGAUCUUGGCCUCAAUAUUAGUUUCUCUUUCAUGUGAUUGAGAGACUACUAAUGUUUGUCACAAGUUUUGAAUUUACCCUUAUUGUAAAGUUUUGAUCUUGAGUCAAGAAGCCUAAUGUUUUGCUCUCUGAAGAAUUGAGAUAUUGUGUAAUAUAUUGGUUUCACAGAUUGGGAAAAUCUAAUGUUUUGAUCAAAAAAGGAUGGAUUCUUUACUGGGGAAGGAGUUUAAGAAACAUAGUGCUAAAACUUGCAGAUUUUGGU